GUCCUGGCCUUAAACGAUGGAUGCUUGGUGUCUGGGGUUUUAUAGUCCCCGGGUGCCGCAGCUAACGCGUUAAGCAUCCCGCCUGGGGAGUACGGUCGCAAGACUGAAACUCAAAGGAAUUGACGGGGACCCCGCACAAGCGGUGGAGCAUGUGGUUCAAUUCGACGCAACGCGAAGAACCUUACCUGGGCUAGAAUGCCUCUGACAUCCUCAGAGAUGAGGUCUCUUAGGGAAACCUAAGCAGAGUGCAAGGUGCUGCAUGGCUGUCGU
RNAcentral lists this ribosomal RNA (270 nucleotides) under uncultured bacterium. RNAcentral's name for it is "partial 16S ribosomal RNA". It matches the Rfam family "Bacterial small subunit ribosomal RNA", at positions 793 to 1055 of the family's 1533-position model. The record is from RNAcentral.